CGUAAAGCUCUGUCGUAUGGGAAUAAGAAAGUGAAUGUACCAUGCAAGAAAGGAUCGGCUAACUUCGUGCCAGCAGCCGCGGUAAGACGAGGGAUCCUAGCGUUGUUCGGAAUCAUUGGGCGUAAAGCGGAUGUAGGUGGCUUUGUAAGUCAGGUGUGAAAGCCCCGGGCUCAACCCGGGAAGUGCAUUUGAUACUGCGAAGCUUGAGUGCUAGAGAGGUUACUAGAAUACCUGGUGUAGUGGUGAAAUACGUAGAUAUCAGGUGGAAUACCGGAGGCGAAGGCGGGUAACCAGCUAGACACUGACACUCAGAUCCGAAAGUGUGGGGAUCAAACAGGAUUAGAUACCCUGGUAGUCCACACCGUAAACGAUGGAUACUUGUUGUUGGAGGUAUUGACCCCUUCAGUGACGCAGUUAACACGGUAAGUAUCCCGCCUGGGGAGUACGGUCGCAAGAUUA
Molecule: ribosomal RNA, 459 nt
Filed under: uncultured Pseudomonadota bacterium
Lineage: Bacteria; Pseudomonadati; Pseudomonadota
Description: bacterial SSU rRNA
Rfam family: Bacterial small subunit ribosomal RNA
Source: RNAcentral